RNAcentral lists this ribosomal RNA (395 nucleotides) under uncultured bacterium. RNAcentral describes it as "bacterial SSU rRNA". It matches the Rfam family "Bacterial small subunit ribosomal RNA", at positions 362 to 774 of the family's 1533-position model. The record is from RNAcentral.
UCUUGGACAAUGGGGGAAACCCUGAUCCAGCCAUGCCGCGUGAGCGAUGAAGGCCUUAGGGUUGUAAAGCUCUUUCAGCUGGGAAGAUAAUGACGGUACCAGCAGAAGAAGCCCCGGCUAACUCCGUGCCAGCAGCCGCGGUAAUACGGAGGGGGCUAGCGUUGUUCGGAAUUACUGGGCGUAAAGCGCGCGUAGGCGGGCAUUUAAGUCGGGGGGGAAAUCCCGGGGCUCAACCCCGGAACUGCCCUCGAUACUGGGUGCCUAGAGGUCGAGAGAGGUGAGUGGAAUGGCGAGUGUAGAGGUGAAAUUCGUAGAUAUUCGCCGGAACACCAGUGGCGAAGGCGGCUCACUGGCUCGAUACUGACGCUGAGGUGCGAAAGCGUGGGGAGCAAACA